GAUGAACGCUGGCGGCGUGCCUAAUACAUGCAAGUCGAGCGAACAGACGAGGAGUUUGCUCCGCUGACGUUAGCGGCGGGCGGGUGAGUAACACGUGGAUAACCUACCUAUAAGACUGGGAUAACUUCGGGAAACCGGAGCUAAUACCGGCUAAUAUCGUGAACCGCAGGGUUCAAUAGUGGAAGCCGGUUUUGCUGUCACUUAUAGAUGGAUCCGCGCCGCAUUAGCUAGUUGGUAAGGUAACGGCUUACCAAGGCAACGAUCCGUAGCCGACCUGAGAGGGUGAUCAGCCACACUGGAACUGAGACACGGUCCAGACUCCUACGGGAGGCAGCAGUAGGGAAUCUUGCGCAAUGGGCGAAAGCCUGACGGAGCAACGCCGCGUGAGUGAUGAAGGUCUUCGGAUCGUAAAGCUCUGUUAUUAGGGAAGAACAAAUGUGUAAGUAACUAUGCACGUCUUGACGGUACCGAAUCAGAAAGCAACGGCUAACUACGUG
Molecule: ribosomal RNA, 497 nt
Filed under: uncultured bacterium
Lineage: Bacteria
Description: partial 16S ribosomal RNA
Rfam family: Bacterial small subunit ribosomal RNA
Source: RNAcentral